GAUGAACGCUAGCGGCAGGCUUAACACAUGCAAGUCGAGGGGUAACAUUGGUGCUUGCAUCAGAUGACGACCGGCGAACGGGUGCGUAACGCGUAUAGAAUCUGCCUUGUACAGGAGGAUAGCCUUUAGAAAUGAAGAUUAAUACUCCAUAAUGUAUUAGCAUCGCAUGAUGCAAAUAUUAAAGAUUUAUCGGUACAAGAUGACUAUGCGUCCUAUUAGUUAGUUGGUAAGGUAACGGCUUACCAAGGCAGCGAUAGGUAGGGGGUCUGAGAGGAUUAUCCCCCACACUGGUACUGAGACACGGACCAGACUCCUACGGGAGGCAGCAGUGAGGAAUAUUGGACAAUGGGCGGAAGCCUGAUCCAGCCAUGCCGCGUGCAGGAAGACUGCCCUAUGGGUUGUAAACUGCUUUUAUACAGGAAGAAACUGCUCUACUGUGUAGAGUACUGACGUGUACUGUAAGAAUAAGCACCGGGCUAACUCCCGUGCCAGCAGCCGCGGUAAUACGGAGGGUGCAAGCGUUAUCCGGAAUCAUUGGGUUUAAAGGGUCCGCAGGCGGUCGAUUAAGUCAGAGGUGAAAUCUCACAGCUUAACUGUGAAACUGCCUUUGAUACUGGUUGACUUGAGUCAUAUGGAAGUGGAUAGAAUAAGUAGUGUAGCGGUGAAAUGCAUAGAUAUUACUUAGAAUACCGAUUGCGAAGGCAGUCCACUACGUAUGUACUGACGCUCAUGGACGAAAGCGUGGGGAACGAACAGGAUUAGAUACCCUGGUAGUCCACGCCGUAAACGAUGGGAUACUAGUUGUUGGAGUAAUUCAGUGACUAAGCGAAAGUGAUAAGUAUCCCACCUGGGGGAGUACGUUCGCAAGAAUGAAACUCAAAGGAAUUGACGGGGGCCCGCCACAAGCGGUGGGAGCAUGUGGUUUAAUUCGAUGAUACGCGAGGAACCUUACCAGGGCUUAAAUGUGGUCUGACAGCUUUAGAGAUAGAGUUUUCUUCGGACAGAUCACAAGGUGCUGCAUGGUUGUCGUCAGCUCGUGCCGUGAGGUGUCAGGUUAAGUCCUAUAACGAGCGCAACCCCUAUCGUUAGUUGCUAACAGGUUAAGCUGAGGACUCUAGCGAGACUGCCGGUGCAAACCGUGAGGAAGGUGGGGAUGACGUCGAAUCAUCACGGCCCUUACGUCCUGGGCUACACACGUGCUACAAUGGUAUGGACAAUGAGCAGCCACUUUGCGAGAAGGAGCGAAUCUAUAAACCAUAUCACAGUUCGGAUCGGAGUCUGCAACUCGACUCCGUGAAGCUGGAAUCGCUAGUAAUCGGAUAUCAGCCAUGAUCCGGUGAAUACGUUCCCGGGCCU
This 1356-nucleotide ribosomal RNA is filed under the name uncultured bacterium. Its description in RNAcentral is "bacterial SSU rRNA". It matches the Rfam family "Bacterial small subunit ribosomal RNA", at positions 28 to 1381 of the family's 1533-position model. The record is from RNAcentral.